Panicum virgatum (switchgrass) is the source of this 265-nucleotide long non-coding RNA. RefSeq lists it as uncharacterized. The transcript is spliced from 2 exons. NCBI's taxonomy places the organism in Eukaryota, Viridiplantae, Streptophyta, Magnoliopsida, Poales, Poaceae. The record is from RefSeq and is a predicted model, not a curated record.
UCUGGACGGCACGCAGGGGAGUUCGCCGACGAUGAGAGGAAGAGAGGAAGUAGGUGGACGCAGUGAACGGGACGGAGUAUGUGCCCACAUACAAGGACACGGACGGUGACUGGAUGCUCGUCGGCGACGUCCCCUGGAAGUUUCAACGAAAUGAACUAGCAUGGAUGUUUAACGAAUUGGAAAGCUGGUGGAUGGUAGUUUGCAGAACCCUGGCAGUUUACCUAUUUGUCUAUUCAGUUUCAUAAUAUGCAUGUGUACUACUGCA